UACGUAGGUGGCAAGCGUUGUUCGGAAUUCCUGGGCGUAAAGGGCUCGUAGGUGGCCAACUAAGUCAGACGUGAAAUCCCUCGGCUUAACCGGGGAACUGCGUCUGAUACUGGAUGGCUUGAGUUCGGGAGAGGGAUGCGGAAUUCCAGGUGUAGCGGUGAAAUGCGUUGAUAUCGACCGGAACUCCGGUGGCGAAGGCGAGGCGCUGGACCCUUUCUGACGCUGAGGCGCGAAAGCCAGGGGAGCAAACGGG
RNAcentral lists this ribosomal RNA (253 nucleotides) under uncultured bacterium. RNAcentral's name for it is "partial 16S ribosomal RNA". It matches the Rfam family "Bacterial small subunit ribosomal RNA", at positions 524 to 776 of the family's 1533-position model. The record is from RNAcentral.